UGCCUACGGGGCGCAGCAGUGGGGAAUAUUGCACAAUGGGGGAAACCCUGAUGCAGCGACGCCGCGUGAGUGAAGAAGUAUUUCGGUAUGUAAAGCUCUAUCAGCAGGGAAGAAAAUGACGGUACCUGACUAAGAAGCCCCGGCUAACUACGUGCCAGCAGCCGCGGUAAUACGUAGGGGGCAAGCGUUAUCCGGAUUUACUGGGUGUAAAGGGAGCGUAGACGGCGACGCAAGUCUGGAGUGAAAGCCCGGGGCCCAACCCCGGGACUGCUCUGGAAACUGCGUCGCUGGAGUACGGGAGGGGC
This 305-nucleotide ribosomal RNA is filed under the name uncultured bacterium. RNAcentral describes it as "bacterial SSU rRNA". It matches the Rfam family "Bacterial small subunit ribosomal RNA", at positions 335 to 658 of the family's 1533-position model. The record is from RNAcentral.